UCUGAUGGGCAGUUCUACUCUCCGCCAGAGUCUUUGGCAGACUCUGACGAGGAGCUGGAUGAUAAACACGAACCUGAAAAAGGGCUCAUUACACAAGUGACUUAACAGGAUCUCCGAUCCUGAACAUGGAGGGAUUUUUGGGUCCUCCAGCGUUGUGCUACUGAGGGGAAAACUUCUGCCUUACACUUUCAGCCAUUUUAGUUUGUAUUUGUUCCAAAGGAGUUCAUAUCCACAAAUGCAGCUCACGUUCUGAUAUCAGCCUUCUGCACGUACACCGGGAAAGUGCCACUUAAAAGUUUCAGUGUCAUGAACUUUGGUUACUGUAUGAGUUUUGUUUCUCCACCUUUAAGGAACUUGAGACCUUACAAGAGAUUUAUCUGAAAUAAAUCAUUACAUCCUUAUCAGCAUCCAUCCAUAAUUCAAAACAUUACAUUCAUUUUAAAACUUAAAAAAAAUAUAUAUAUAUAUACACUUUCAAUUAAAAAACAGAGUGUUAAUGUCUUAUUUCCAGCAUAAUGUUUACUUAUAAUUCUGUGAUCAUUUUCUUAUGCUUCGGUUGAGUCACUGCAAAGGAAAAUAGGCUCAUGGAUGCCACAGAAAGGAUUGUUCAUCCAGUAUUGAGCCUGCAGACCAGACUGUAGCAGAAAGAGAAAGUCAAACUCUUACAGAUGUUUAUGAUUACUUCAAUGUCUUAAAAAUGUGCAUGAAAGAAUAUUAAGGUAACAUAUAGAGAUGUGAACGAUACUGUUUGUUUUGAAACGAGAGCGAAGGAUCGUGUGUUAAAGAAAACGAGCCAUAAACGUGCAGCAUGUACACUCGGAGAUUUGGGUUUCGUGCACUGAACAGAAGGGACGCUGCUCUCGAAAGCUGCUGUGACGGGCGGGGAAACGCUCUAAUGGAAAUGUACAUAUCUUCAUGCAUGCUUUGCAAGCUCAGUGGAUGUUUAUUCUUUGUUUUCUUUUUUUAAAGAAAAGCCCGUCUGUAUAACAGAAUCAUUAAAAUGUUAAAGGUUAUGUGGUUUUGUUUAAUUGUUUAUGUCAAACCUCGACCUUAAAGAGUUCAACAGAAUAAGAACUUAGACAUAAAUUAGCCUUAUGAAUAAAUAAAAUGUGAAAAUAUUCCUUUAAAAAAA
Non-coding RNA from Neolamprologus brichardi, 1132 nucleotides. The record is from RefSeq and is a predicted model, not a curated record. Lineage: Eukaryota; Metazoa; Chordata; Actinopteri; Cichliformes; Cichlidae.